Molecule: long non-coding RNA, 290 nt
Filed under: Elaeis guineensis (African oil palm)
Lineage: Eukaryota; Viridiplantae; Streptophyta; Magnoliopsida; Arecales; Arecaceae
Description: long non-coding RNA (EGUI_LNC073779)
Source: RNAcentral
UUGGCUCUAGAUCGUUAGGUCAACAAUAAAUAACAGAGCACCUGCUUUGAUACCAAUUGUUGCCUAAAGGUAGCAACUAAAGAAGGAAGGUGACUUAGGUUCUUGAAAAUUUUGAUCAAAUUUAUGCUUUAAACAUGUACUUUAUUUAACUUAAUUCAGCUUAAUAUGACUGUGUAGUGUAUGCAGUAAAAUCAAAUAUGUAUGAAGCUAAGCAUGAAUUAAACAAAGCUAACCAAGAGUUAAACAGAUUCAGCAAGCAAAGCAAUGAUUAAAAGUGUGCAAGUAUGUAA